RNAcentral lists this ribosomal RNA (253 nucleotides) under uncultured bacterium. Its description in RNAcentral is "partial 16S ribosomal RNA". It matches the Rfam family "Bacterial small subunit ribosomal RNA", at positions 524 to 776 of the family's 1533-position model. The record is from RNAcentral.
UACGUAGGGUGCAAGCGUUGUCCGGAUUUAUUGGGCGUAAAGAGCGUGUAGGCGGUUCGGUAGGUCCGUUGUGAAAACUCGAGGCUCAACCUCGAGACGCCGAUGGAAACCCUCGAACUAGAGUCCGGAAGAGGAGAAUGGAAUUCCUGGUGUAGCGGUGAAAUGCGCAGAUAUCAGGAAGAACACCCGUGGCUAAGGCGGUUCUCUAGUACGGUACUGACGCUGAGACGCGAAAGCGUGGGGAGCGAACAGG